CCUACGGGUGGCAGCAGUGAGGAAUAUUGGUCAAUGGGCGGGAGCCUGAACCAGCCAAGUCGCGUGAGGGAAGACGGUCCUAUGGAUUGUAAACCUCUUUAGGCGGGGAGCAAUGCCGGGCACGCGUGCCCGGAGGGAGAGUACCCGCAGAAUAAGCAUCGGCUAACUCCGUGCCAGCAGCCGCGGUAAUACGUAGGGGGCAAGCGUUGUUCGGAAUGACUGGGCGUAAAGGGUGUGUAGGUGGUUUGAUAAGUUAGAUGUGUAAUACCCAGGGCUUAACUCGGGUGCUGCAUCUAAAACUGUUGACUUGAGUACUGGAGAGGAUAGUGGAAUUCCUAGUGUAGCGGUGGAAUGCGUAGAUAUUAGGAGGAACAUCAGUGGCGAAGGCGACUAUCUGGACAGCAACUGACACUGAGGCACGAAAGCGUGGGGAGCAAACAGGAUUAGAUACCCCUGUAGUC
This 461-nucleotide ribosomal RNA is filed under the name uncultured bacterium. RNAcentral's name for it is "partial 16S ribosomal RNA". It matches the Rfam family "Bacterial small subunit ribosomal RNA", at positions 338 to 795 of the family's 1533-position model. The record is from RNAcentral.